This 305-nucleotide ribosomal RNA is filed under the name uncultured bacterium. RNAcentral describes it as "bacterial SSU rRNA". It matches the Rfam family "Bacterial small subunit ribosomal RNA", at positions 333 to 635 of the family's 1533-position model. The record is from RNAcentral.
UCAUGCCUACGGGAGGCAGCAGUGAGGAAUAUUGGUCAAUGGGCGAGAGCCUGAACCAGCCAAGUCGCGUGAGGGAAGACGGUCCUAUGGAUUGUAAACCUCUUUUGCCGGGGAGCAAAAAGCGGUACGUGUACCGCAUCGAGAGUACCCGGAGAAAAAGCAUCGGCUAACUCCGUGCCAGCAGCCGCGGUAAUACGGAGGAUGCGAGCGUUAUCCGGAUUUAUUGGGUUUAAAGGGUGCGUAGGCGGUCAGGUAAGUUAGAGGUGAAAGCUCGAUGCUCAACAUCGAAACUGCCUCUGAUACUU